AGCGAACGCUGGCGGCAGGCUUAACACAUGCAAGUCGAGCGGGCACCUUUCGGGGUGUCAGCGGCGGACGGGUGAGUAACGCGUGGGAACGUGCCCUCUGGUUCGGAAUAACUCAGGGAAACUUGAGCUAAUACCGGAUACGCCCUUUUGGGGAAAGGCUUGCUGCCGGAGGAUCGGCCCGCGUCUGAUUAGCUAGUUGGUGAGGUAACGGCUCACCAAGGCGACGAUCAGUAGCUGGUCUGAGAGGAUGAUCAGCCACACUGGGACUGAGACACGGCCCAGACUCCUACGGGAGGCAGCAGUGGGGAAUAUUGGACAAUGGGCGCAAGCCUGAUCCAGCCAUGCCGCGUGAGUAAUGAAGGCCUUAGGGUUGUAAAGCUCUUUUAUCCGGGACGAUAAUGACGGUACCGGAGGAAUAAGCCCCGGCUAACUUCGUG
RNAcentral lists this ribosomal RNA (437 nucleotides) under uncultured bacterium. RNAcentral's name for it is "partial 16S ribosomal RNA". It matches the Rfam family "Bacterial small subunit ribosomal RNA", at positions 29 to 507 of the family's 1533-position model. The record is from RNAcentral.